GGAGCUAACGCGUUAAGUCGACCGCCUGGGGAGUACGGCCGCAAGGUUAAAACUCAAAUGAAUUGACGGGGGCCCGCACAAGCGGUGGAGCAUGUGGUUUAAUUCGAUGCAACGCGAAGAACCUUACCUGGUCUUGACAUCCACAGAACUUUCCAGAGAUGGAUUGGUGCCUUCGGGAACUGUGAGACAGGUGCUGCAUGGCUGUCGUCAGCUCGUGUUGUGAAAUGUUGGGUUAAGUCCCGCAACGAGCGCAACCCUUAUCCUUUGUUGCCAGCGGUCCGGCCGGGAACUCAAAGGAGACUGCCAGUGAUAAACUGGAGGAAGGUGGGGAUGACGUCAAGUCAUCAUGGCCCUUACGACCAGGGCUACACACGUGCUACAAUGGCGCAUACAAAGAGAAGCGACCUCGCGAGAGCAAGCGGACCUCAUAAAGUGCGUCGUAGUCCGGAUUGGAGUCUGCAACUCGACUCCAUGAAGUCGGAAUCGCUAGUAAUCGUGGAUCAGAAUGCCACGGUGAAUACGUUCCCGGGCCUUGUACACACCGCCCGUCACACCAUGGGAGUGGGUUGCAAAAGAAGU
Molecule: ribosomal RNA, 579 nt
Filed under: Escherichia coli
Lineage: Bacteria; Pseudomonadati; Pseudomonadota; Gammaproteobacteria; Enterobacterales; Enterobacteriaceae
Description: bacterial SSU rRNA
Rfam family: Bacterial small subunit ribosomal RNA
Source: RNAcentral